RNAcentral lists this ribosomal RNA (111 nucleotides) under Lobosphaera incisa. Lineage: Eukaryota; Viridiplantae; Chlorophyta; Trebouxiophyceae; Trebouxiales; Trebouxiaceae. The record is from RNAcentral.
UGAUUUUUAUAAACUAGUGUAACCUACCCGAACCCUUUUCGAACUCGAUAAGUAAAGCCACUAGUUGCCAUAUGUACUGCGUUGAGUGGGAGACAUGGUAAAAGUCAAGAU